This 301-nucleotide ribosomal RNA is filed under the name uncultured bacterium. RNAcentral describes it as "partial 16S ribosomal RNA". It matches the Rfam family "Bacterial small subunit ribosomal RNA", at positions 509 to 807 of the family's 1533-position model. The record is from RNAcentral.
CAGUCGCCGCGGUAAUACGUAGGUGGCAAGCGUUGUCCGGAUUUAUUGGGCGUAAAGCGAGCGCAGGCGGUUUCUUAAGUCUGAUGUGAAAGCCCCCGGCUCAACCGGGGAGGGUCAUUGGAAACUGGGAGACUUGAGUGCAGAAGAGGAGAGUGGAAUUCCAUGUGUAGCGGUGAAAUGCGUAGAUAUAUGGAGGAACACCAGUGGCGAAGGCGGCUCUCUGGUCUGUAACUGACGCUGAGGCUCGAAAGCGUGGGGAGCGAACAGGAUUAGAUACCCGUGUAGUCCCUGUCUCUUAUAC